Xyrichtys novacula (pearly razorfish) is the source of this 707-nucleotide non-coding RNA. The record is from the annotation of a GenBank genome assembly. NCBI's taxonomy places the organism in Eukaryota, Metazoa, Chordata, Actinopteri, Labriformes, Labridae.
UCGUCGUUGAAGCCUGGAUGAUCAGACGGGUCUAAAGUUUGUCGUGUGAAGAGAGUUAGGAGUGAUUUCUCUUCCAUUAUCCGAGUGUCCUCCACUUGAAAUCCUAAAUAUCAACAUGUUCAGUUUUCUGGAGAGGAUAUCGUUUCCUAAGAUCACUCUCCAUUAUUUUGUGGAUCGAGCGGACAGCUAAUCGUGAGCUGACUUAAGAAGAAGGUACGACCUCGGGCUGCACGGUUUUGGCCGAGAAUUAAAUCCCGAUUUUCGAUUUCUUAUUCAGUGAUAACUUCACCAAACUUUACUUUAAUAAAAAGAUUUUCUAUCGUCUCUCAAAACGAAACCACUGAAAACGACGUAGUUCAUAUGCCAAGCCAGUAAGUGGCGCUGUAACGCUGAAGAAGAGUUCAGAUCAUGUGUAUAAAGGUUGUUUUGGCGCCAUAAAAGAGUUCCUCUGUGUGUCACAUGAUCGUUUCCAGAGAUGCAGAUAGACAUCCACACGGAGAUGAAAUGGUCGUCGUUUACAGAUUUAUUCACUCUCUGACCCGUUUUCAAAAAGUACCGUUUACAGUCACCUGAAACGCCGAUACGACAAAAAACUUUAGCGUUUCCUCCUGAAUUUGUUUCCGUGGUGACGGGUUGAUACCGCCUUCAGACAGACUUUGCAGCGGGGAGUGGUUUACUCUUCAUCUGAAACUGUGAAGUCGUACCAA